This 850-nucleotide ribosomal RNA is filed under the name Haloterrigena sp. Its description in RNAcentral is "bacterial SSU rRNA". It matches the Rfam family "Archaeal small subunit ribosomal RNA", at positions 30 to 881 of the family's 1478-position model. The record is from RNAcentral. Lineage: Archaea; Methanobacteriati; Methanobacteriota; Halobacteria; Halobacteriales; Natrialbaceae.
CCAAGGGCAAUCGAUUUAGCAUGCUAGUUGCACGAGUUCAGACUCGUAGCAGAUAGCUCAGUAACACGUGGCCAAACUACCCUAUGGAUCCGAAUAACCUCGGGAAACUGAGGCUAAUUCGGAAUACGAAUCCCACGCUGGAAUUGCCGGGAUUCCGAAACGUUACGGCGCCAUAGGAUGUGGCUGCGGCCGAUUAGGUAGACGGUGGGGUAACGGCCCACCGUGCCAAUAAUCGGUACGGGUUGUGAGAGCAAGAGCCCGGAGACGGUAUCUGAGACAAGAUACCGGGCCCUACGGGGCGCAGCAGGCGCGAAACCUUUACACUGCACGCGAGUGCGAUAAGGGGACUCCAAGUGCGAGGGCAUAUCGUCCUCGCUUUUCGCGACCGUAAGGUGGUCGCAGAAUAAGUGCUGGGCAAGACCGGUGCCAGCCGCCGCGGUAAUACCGGCAGCACAAGUGAUGACCGCUAUUAUUGGGCCUAAAGCGUCCGUAGCUGGCCACCCAAGUCCAUCGGGAAAUCCGCGUGCUUAACACGCGGGCGUCCGGUGGAAACUGGAUGGCUUGGGACCGGAAGACCUGAGGGGUACGUCCGGGGUAGGAGUGAAAUCCCGUAAUCCUGGACGGACCACCGGUGGCGAAAGCGCCUCAGGAAGACGGAUCCGACGGUGAGGGACGAAAGCUCGGGUCACGAACCGGAUUAGAUACCCGGGUAGUCCGAGCUGUAAACGAUGUCUGCUAGGUGUGACACAGGCUACGAGCCUGUGUUGUGCCGUAGGGAAGCCGUGAAGCAGACCGCCUGGGAAGUACGUCCGCAAGGAUGAAACUUAAAGGAAUUGGCGGGGGAGCACUA